UACGGAGGGUGCGAGCGUUGUCCGGAAUCACUGGGCGUAAAGGGCGCGUAGGCGGCUUCUUAAGCGGGCGGUGAAAGCCCGGGGCUCAACCCCGGGUCGGCCGUGCGAACUGGGAAGCUCGAGCACUGUAGAGGCAGGUGGAAUUCCGGGUGUAGCGGUGGAAUGCGUAGAGAUCCGGAAGAACACCGGAGGCGAAGGCGGCUUGCUGGGCGCGAUCUGACGCUGAGGCGCGAAAGCGUGGGGAGCGAACAGG
This 253-nucleotide ribosomal RNA is filed under the name uncultured bacterium. Its description in RNAcentral is "partial 16S ribosomal RNA". It matches the Rfam family "Bacterial small subunit ribosomal RNA", at positions 524 to 776 of the family's 1533-position model. The record is from RNAcentral.